CGCGAAAACUCUACAAUGCACGCAAGUGUGAUAGGGCAACCCCUCGUGCUCAACUAACGUUGGGCUUUUAUUAUGUGUAGUGAUCAUAAUGAAUAAGUGGUGGGCAAGACCGGUGCCAGCAGCCGCGGUAAUACCGGCGCCACAAGUGGAGAUCAUUUUUAUUGGGUCUAAAGUGUUCGUAGCUGGUUUUUGUAAGUCUCUUGUGAAAGUUCUACUGCUUAACUUAGAAUCUGCAAGAGAUACUGCAAAACUUGAGACCGGGAGAGAUGUAGAGUAUUGUUUGGGUAGCGGUAAAAUGCUAUAAUCCUUACAAGACUAACUAAGGCGAAGGCACUACAUUUGAACGGAUCUGACAGUGAGGAACGAGAGCGUGGGGAGCGAACCGGAUUAGAUACCCGGGUAGUCCUAGCCGUAAACGCUGCGGGUUAGCUUUGCUAAAUCUACGUGUAUUUAGCAGGGUCGUAG
This 465-nucleotide ribosomal RNA is filed under the name uncultured euryarchaeote. RNAcentral describes it as "bacterial SSU rRNA". It matches the Rfam family "Archaeal small subunit ribosomal RNA", at positions 340 to 806 of the family's 1478-position model. Lineage: Archaea; Methanobacteriati; Methanobacteriota. The record is from RNAcentral.